UCACUUCACAUUCAGAACGAAGUGACUAUAUAGGGUCCUGCCGGCUUCGGUCGGCUAUGACGAUAAAUUGCCCCGUGCAAUAGACGCAGCGGACCCGGGGGCGGUACCCGGCGGCUCCACCAUCACUCGUCUCCCGCAAGGGGGCAUCCUGUGUUGUCGCAGGAGUGAUGACGGGGCCGAACUAGGAUCGACGUGUGUUGAAAAGCGGUGUUUUCGUCCGGGCUGAGUAACCCGUUCAAGGCUCAAAACUCAUAAGUGCCAACGACAACGAAGCACUUGCUCUCGCAGCGUAAUUCUAGGGGCUAACGCCCUGAAGUUACAAAGCCAGAACACGGUUGGACCCACCGGGUAACAGAAGCGGAUUCC
RNAcentral lists this transfer-messenger RNA (366 nucleotides) under Novosphingobium panipatense. RNAcentral describes it as "Alphaproteobacteria transfer-messenger RNA". It matches the Rfam family "Alphaproteobacteria transfer-messenger RNA". From Rfam's summary of the family: Bacterial tmRNA, also known as 10Sa RNA or SsrA, is named for its dual tRNA and mRNA-like properties. Its role is to liberate the mRNA from a stalled ribosome. Lineage: Bacteria; Pseudomonadati; Pseudomonadota; Alphaproteobacteria; Sphingomonadales; Sphingomonadaceae. The record is from RNAcentral.